RNAcentral lists this long non-coding RNA (350 nucleotides) under Coffea arabica (coffee). RNAcentral describes it as "long non-coding RNA (CARA_LNC002685)". The record is from RNAcentral. Lineage: Eukaryota; Viridiplantae; Streptophyta; Magnoliopsida; Gentianales; Rubiaceae.
AAUUACCAAAAAGGAGGGACUUUUAUGGGAAAAUGGAGACUUCUAAGGACCUUGGACUCUUGAAUUGGUGGGGACCACAAGCUAGUGAAAGGCAUUUAGUCAUUUGGGCCUUUCAAAGAAAGCAACGUAGAGAGACUUGGACCAAGAAGUAAUUUGGAGGCUUUGUCCACAUGUGUGGGGACCACAGGAAAUAGGUUUUAGGCUUCUUUCUUUUGGCUUUUUAAGGGAAGACGUACAGAAGCAAAAGGAGAUCCCUAGUUUUAGUGUAGUUUUUAGUUUAGUUUUAGUUUCCUUUCUUUCUUUCUUUUGACUGGCCUCUGACACACGCCAGGUGUUCGACAAUAUUCCCC